GGGUUGUGAGGUUAAGCGACUAAGCGUACACGGUGGAUGCCCUGGCAGUCAGAGGCGAUGAAGGACGUGCUAAUCUGCGAAAAGCGUCGGUAAGGUGAUAUGAACCGUUAUAGCCGGCGAUGUCCGAAUGGGGAAACCCAGUGCAAUUCGUUGCACUAUCGUUAACUGAAUACAUAGGUUAACGAGGCGAACCGGGGGAACUGAAACAUCUAAGUACCCCGAGGAAAAGAAAUCAACCGAGAUUCCCCCAGUAGCGGCGAGCGAACGGGGAGCAGCCCAGAGUCUGAAUCAGCUUGUGUGUUAGUGGAACGGUCUGGAAAGUCCGACGGUACAGGGUGAUAGUCCCGUACACCAAAAUGCACAGGCUGUGAACUCGAAGAGUAGGGCGGGACACGUGGUAUCCUGUCUGAAUAUGGGGGGACCAUCCUCCAAGGCUAAAUACUCCUGACUGACCGAUAGUGAACCAGUACCGUGAGGGAAAGGCGAAAAGAACCCCGGCGAGGGGAGUGAAAAAGAACCUGAAACCGUGUACGUACAAGCAGUGGGAGCACCUUCGGGUGUGACUGCGUACCUUUUGUAUAAUGGGUCAGCGACUUAUAUUCUGUAGCAAGGUUAACCGUAUAGGGGAGCCGCAGGGAAACCGAGUCUUAACUGGGCGUUAAGUUGCAGGGUAUAGACCCGAAACCCGGUGAUCUAGCCAUGGGCAGGUUGAAGGUUGGGUAACACUAACUGGAGGACCGAACCGACUAAUGUUGAAAAAUUAGCGGAUGACUUGUGGCUGGGGGUGAAAGGCCAAUCAAACCGGGAGAUAGCUGGUUCUCCCCGAAAGCUAUUUAGGUAGCGCCUCGUGAACUCAUCUUCGGGGGUAGAGCACUGUUUCGGCUAGGGGGUCAUCCCGACUUACCAACCCGAUGCAAACUACGAAUACCGAAGAAUGUUAUCACGGGAGACACACGGCGGGUGCUAACGUCCGUCGUGAAGAGGGAAACAACCCAGACCGCCAGCUAAGGUCCCAAAGUCAUGGUUAAGUGGGAAACGAUGUGGGAAGGCACAGACAGCCAGGAUGUUGGCUUAGAAGCAGCCAUCAUUUAAAGAAAGCGUAAUAGCUCACUGGUCGAGUCGGCCUGCGCGGAAGAUGUAACGGGGCUAAACCAUGCACCGAAGCUGCGGCAGCGACACUAUGUGUUGUUGGGUAGGGGAGCGUUCUGUAAGCCUGCGAAGGUGUGCUGUGAGGCAUGCUGGAGGUAUCAGAAGUGCGAAUGCUGACAUAAGUAACGAUAAAGCGGGUGAAAAGCCCGCUCGCCGGAAGACCAAGGGUUCCUGUCCAACGUUAAUCGGGGCAGGGUGAGUCGACCCCUAAGGCGAGGCCGAAAGGCGUAGUCGAUGGGAAACAGGUUAAUAUUCCUGUACUUGGUGUUACUGCGAAGGGGGGACGGAGAAGGCUAUGUUAGCCGGGCGACGGUUGUCCCGGUUUAAGCAUGUAGGCUGAUUGUCCAGGCAAAUCCGGAUAAUCAAGGCUGAGGUGUGAUGACGAGGCACUACGGUGCUGAAGUAACAAAUGCCCUGCUUCCAGGAAAAGCCUCUAAGCAUCAGGUAACAUUAAAUCGUACCCCAAACCGACACAGGUGGUCAGGUAGAGAAUACCAAGGCGCUUGAGAGAACUCGGGUGAAGGAACUAGGCAAAAUGGUGCCGUAACUUCGGGAGAAGGCACGCUGGUGUGUAGGUGAAGUCCCUGCGGAUGGAGCUGAGACCAGUCGAAGAUACCAGCUGGCUGCAACUGUUUAUUAAAAACACAGCACUGUGCAAACACGAAAGUGGACGUAUACGGUGUGACGCCUGCCCGGUGCCGGAAGGUUAAUUGAUGGGGUUAUCCGUAAGGAGAAGCUCUUGAUCGAAGCCCCGGUAAACGGCGGCCGUAACUAUAACGGUCCUAAGGUAGCGAAAUUCCUUGUCGGGUAAGUUCCGACCUGCACGAAUGGCGUAAUGAUGGCCAGGCUGUCUCCACCCGAGACUCAGUGAAAUUGAACUCGCUGUGAAGAUGCAGUGUACCCGCGGCAAGACGGAAAGACCCCGUGAACCUUUACUAUAGCUUGACACUGAACAUUGAGCCUUGAUGUGUAGGAUAGGUGGGAGGCUUUGAAGCGUGGACGCCAGUCUGCGUGGAGCCAACCUUGAAAUACCACCCUUUAAUGUUUGAUGUUCUAACGUUGGCCCCUUACCGGGGUUGCGGACAGUGUCUGGUGGGUAGUUUGACUGGGGCGGUCUCCUCCCAAAGCGUAACGGAGGAGCACGAAGGUUAGCUAAUCCUGGUCGGACAUCAGGAGGUUAGUGCAAUGGCAUAAGCUAGCUUGACUGCGAGCGUGACGGCGCGAGCAGGUGCGAAAGCAGGUCAUAGUGAUCCGGUGGUUCUGAAUGGAAGGGCCAUCGCUCAACGGAUAAAAGGUACUCCGGGGAUAACAGGCUGAUACCGCCCAAGAGUUCAUAUCGACGGCGGUGUUUGGCACCUCGAUGUCGGCUCAUCACAUCCUGGGGCUGAAGUAGGUCCCAAGGGUAUGGCUGUUCGCCAUUUAAAGUGGUACGCGAGCUGGGUUUAGAACGUCGUGAGACAGUUCGGUCCCUAUCUGCCGUGGGCGCUGGAGAAUUGAGGGGGGCUGCUCCUAGUACGAGAGGACCGGAGUGGACGCAUCACUGGUGUUCGGGUUGUCAUGCCAAUGGCACUGCCCGGUAGCUAAAUGCGGAAGAGAUAAGUGCUGAAAGCAUCUAAGCACGAAACUUGCCCCGAGAUGAGUUCUCCCUGAGACUUUAAGUCUCCUGAAGGAACGUUAAAGACGAUGACGUUGAUAGGCCGGGUGUGUAAGCGCAGCGAUGCGUUGAGCUAACCGGUACUAAUGAACCGUGAGGCUUAACCUUACAACGCCGAAG
Molecule: ribosomal RNA, 2923 nt
Filed under: Klebsiella pneumoniae
Lineage: Bacteria; Pseudomonadati; Pseudomonadota; Gammaproteobacteria; Enterobacterales; Enterobacteriaceae
Description: bacterial LSU rRNA
Rfam family: Bacterial large subunit ribosomal RNA
Source: RNAcentral